GAAAUGCGUUAAGAAGUGUGAAUUGCAGAAUUCAGUGAAUCAUCGAAUCUUUGAACGCACAUUGCGCCCCUUGGUAUUCCAUGGGGCAUGCCUGUUCGAGCGUCAUUUGUACCCUCAAGCUCUGCUUGGUGUUGGGUGUUUGUCCCGUCUCCGCGCGUGGACUCGCCCCAAAGUGAUUGGCAGCCGGCGUACUGGUCCCGGAGCGCAGCACAUGUCGCGCAAACGAGUGCCUUGGUACGGCGGCGUCCAUAAGCCCCUCUCUCACGCUCUUGACCUCGGAUCAGGUAGGGAUACCCGCUGAACUUAAGC
RNAcentral lists this unclassified non-coding RNA (309 nucleotides) under plant metagenome. Its description in RNAcentral is "partial contains 5.8S ribosomal RNA, internal transcribed spacer 2, and large subunit ribosomal RNA". The stretch from base 1 to 105 matches the Rfam family "5.8S ribosomal RNA", at positions 50 to 154 of the family's 154-position model. The record is from RNAcentral.